GUGGGGCUCUGGGCGGGCGGCUGCCGAGGCGCAGGCAGAGGCACAGGCCGCGCGCUCGCCUUCCCGCCGCGCCCGCGCCCCCGUUGGCUGGCGGCUCCGGGAGCGCAGGGCCCGCCGGCUGGGGCGCGAGCGUCUGGUGAAUCAGCCCAGCAGAGCGCGAGCGCCGGCGGCGGGGAGCCGCGGCGGAAAAUGGCUGAAGCGGCCGGCGGCUUUCUGGAGCAGCUCAAGUCCUGCAUCGUGUGGUCGUGGACGUACCUGUGGACCGUGUGGUUCUUCAUCGUGCUCUUCCUCGUCUACAUCCUGAGGGUGCCCUUGAAGCUCAGCGACAAUCUGAGCACAGUGAGCAUGUUUUUGAACACAUUAACACCGAAGUUCUACGUGGCCCUGACAGGCACUUCCUCACUAAUAUCAGGGCUAAUUUUGAUAUUUGAAUGGUGGUAUUUUCGCAAAUAUGGAACAUCCUUCAUUGAACAAGUCUCAGUAAGCCACUUGCGCCCCCUUCUGGGAGGUGUUGACAACAACUCUUCCAAUAAUUCUAAUUCCAGUAAUGGGGACUCAGAUUCCAACAGGCAAAGUGUCUCAGAGUGCAAAGUAUGGCGAAAUCCACUAAAUUUAUUUAGAGGUGCUGAAUAUAAUCGGUAUACUUGGGUAACAGGACGAGAGCCUCUGACUUACUAUGACAUGAAUCUCUCUGCCCAGGAUCACCAGACAUUCUUCACUUGUGAUUCAGACCAUCUUCGACCUGCAGAUGCAAUAAUGCAAAAAGCCUGGAGAGAGAGAAACCCUCAAGCUAGGAUUUCUGCAGCUCAUGAAGCUUUGGAGAUAAAUGAAAUUAGGUCCAGAGUUGAAGUUCCCCUAAUUGCUUCCUCUACCAUCUGGGAGAUAAAAUUGUUACCAAAGUGUGCAACUGCUUAUAUUCUUCUGGCUGAAGAGGAAGCAACAACUAUUGCUGAAGCAGAAAAACUCUUUAAGCAGGCCCUGAAGGCUGGGGAUGGCUGUUACCGGCGUUCUCAGCAGUUACAACAUCAUGGAUCCCAGUACGAAGCCCAGCAUAGACGAGACACCAAUGUCUUGGUUUACAUCAAGAGAAGACUAGCAAUGUGUGCUCGAAGACUUGGGAGGACGAGAGAAGCAGUGAAAAUGAUGAGAGAUUUAAUGAAGGAGUUCCCUCUCCUAAGCAUGUUCAACAUCCAUGAAAAUCUUCUAGAAGCCCUUCUGGAACUCCAAGCUUAUGCUGAUGUUCAGGCAGUCUUAGCAAAGUAUGAUGAUAUAAGCUUACCAAAGUCAGCAACAAUAUGCUACACAGCCGCCUUGCUCAAAGCAAGAGCUGUCUCUGACAAAUCGCCAGUACCUACUGCAACAUCUUUUCUCCCUACACAGCGACUCCAGCUUGGGAGGGCAGGGCCAGGGUUGUCACAGCUUCCCCUGUGGUGUCUGCCUGCCAAGCACAGCUCUGGAGUUAGCCCUGGGUGUGAGAUUCUCUCCAGAGGCUGCAUCUCGGCGAGGGCUGAGCACAGCAGAGAUGAAUGCAGUAGAGGCUAUUCACAGAGCUGUGGAAUUUAAUCCGCACGUGCCAAAAUAUCUACUAGAAAUGAAAAGUUUAAUCCUUCCUCCAGAACACAUCCUGAAGAGAGGUGACAGUGAAGCAAUAGCGUAUGCAUUCUUUCAUCUUGCACACUGGAAGAGGGUAGAAGGGGCUUUGAAUCUCUUGCAUUGCACGUGGGAAGGCACUUUUCGAAUGAUCCCUUAUCCCUUGGAGAAGGGGCACCUAUUUUAUCCAUACCCAAUCUGUACAGAAACAGCAGACCGGGAGCUGCUUCCCUCUUUCCAUGAAGUCUCAGUUUACCCAAAGAAGGAGCUCCCCUUCUUUAUCCUCUUCACUGCUGGAUUGUGUUCCUUCACAGCCAUGCUGGCCCUCCUGACACAUCAGUUCCCUGAACUUAUGGGGGUCUUCGCAAAAGCUUUCCUCAGCACUUUGUUUGCUCCCUUGAACUUUGUUAUGGAGAAAGUGGAAAGCAUCCUCCCCUCCAGUUUGUGGCAUCAGCUGACACGGAUCUGAGGGGAGGGAGCUGCCCAUUCUUCACUUUCUUCACCCUGCCACCAUCUCUUCCAUGCCAAUUCCUUGUGGACCACAAGAAAGCAUGACUUUGAAAAAGGGAAGCCAUUCCGAGAUUUUGAACUGUUCAUGGACUAUCUGUUCCAUAUUGAAAGUUGUUUUUGUUGUACAAAAUUCAUGUUCAGUUCUAUUUUAUUUUGUCUCCAAAAAACAAACAAAAAGAUAAAAAAAUAAACUUUUGUGUAUUGCAACAACCAGUUGUGUUUUCUUAUCUUCUUUACAACUUUAAAAGUGCCAUUCUUCCCAAUAAAUCAGAGAGUAUACCUUG
This is an RNA transcript of Nannospalax galili (Upper Galilee mountains blind mole rat), 2384 nucleotides long. It is a transcript of the gene named suppression of tumorigenicity 7, with no coding region annotated. NCBI's taxonomy places the organism in Eukaryota, Metazoa, Chordata, Mammalia, Rodentia, Spalacidae. The transcript has 17 exons. The record is from RefSeq and is a predicted model, not a curated record.